UACGUAGGGUGCAAGCGUUGUCCGGAAUUAUUGGGCGUAAAGAGCUCGUAGGCGGUUUGUCGCGUCUGCUGUGAAAACUCGGGGCUUAACUCCGGGCCUGCAGUGGGUACGGGCAGACUAGAGUGCGGUAGGGGAGACUGGAAUUGCUGGUGUAGCGGUGAAAUGCGCAGAUAUCAGGAGGAACACCAAUGGCGAAGGCAGCUCGCUGGGACGGUACUGACGCUGAGGCGCGAAAGCGUGGGGAGCAAACAGG
This 253-nucleotide ribosomal RNA is filed under the name uncultured bacterium. Its description in RNAcentral is "partial 16S ribosomal RNA". It matches the Rfam family "Bacterial small subunit ribosomal RNA", at positions 524 to 776 of the family's 1533-position model. The record is from RNAcentral.